This 253-nucleotide ribosomal RNA is filed under the name uncultured bacterium. RNAcentral describes it as "partial 16S ribosomal RNA". It matches the Rfam family "Bacterial small subunit ribosomal RNA", at positions 524 to 776 of the family's 1533-position model. The record is from RNAcentral.
UACGUAGGCAGCGAGCGUUGUUCGGAAUUACUGGGCGUAAAGAGUGUGUAGGCGGUGCUCUAAGUUCGGUGUGAAAUCUCCUGGCUUAACUGGGAGGGUGCGCCGAAAACUGGAGUGCUCGAGCGUGGGAGAGGAAAGCGGAAUUCCUGGUGUAGCGGUGAAAUGCGUAGAUAUCAGGAGGAACACCUGCGGUGUAGACGGCUUUCUGGACCAUUGCUGACGCUGAGACGCGAAAGCGUGGGGAGCGAACAGG